Molecule: ribosomal RNA, 387 nt
Filed under: uncultured bacterium
Lineage: Bacteria
Description: bacterial SSU rRNA
Rfam family: Bacterial small subunit ribosomal RNA
Source: RNAcentral
GACGAACGCUGGCGGCGUGCUUAACACAUGCAAGUCGAACGGACGAUCGAGGCUUGCCUUGAUCGUUAGUGGCGGACGGCUGAGUAACGCGUAGGUGACCUGCCCCGAAGUGGGGGAUAACUGCCCGAAAGGGUGGCUAAUACCGCAUGUGGUGGUUCGUUCAAUCGACCCAUCAAAGCAGCAAUGCGCUUCGGGAGGGGCCUGCGUCCGAUUAGCUCGUUGGUGGGGUAACGGCUCACCAAGGCGACGAUCGGUAGGUGGUCUGAGAGGACGAUCACCCAGACUGGGACUGAGACACGGCCCAGACUCCUACGGGAGGCAGCAGUCGGGAAUUUGCGCAAUGGGCGAAAGCCUGACGCAGCAACGCCGCGUGAGGGAUGAAGGCCU